GCCUUCGUGGUGUAAUGGUCAGCACGCUUGACGCGUAUUCGAGAAGUCCGCGGUUCGAGUCCCGACGUGGGCA
Stegodyphus mimosarum is the source of this 73-nucleotide non-coding RNA. Lineage: Eukaryota; Metazoa; Arthropoda; Arachnida; Araneae; Eresidae. The record is from Rfam.